GACGAACGCUGGCGGCGUGCUUAACACAUGCAAGUCGAACGGGCCCGCUCUCUUUUUUGGGGGUGGGUUGAGUGGCGACCGGGUGAGUAUCACGUGAGUAACCUGCCCCCUGCUCCUGGAUAACUGCUUGAAAGGGCGGCUAAUACGGGGUGUGCCGGCUGGUCCGCAUGGGCCUGGUCGGGAUAGUUUCAUCUUCGGGUGUUUCGGCGGGGGAUGGGCUCGCGGCCUAUCGGCUUGUUGGUGGGGUGAUGGCCCACCAAGGCGGUGACGGGUAGCCGGCCUGAGGGGGUGGGCGGCCGCACGGGGACUGGGACACGGCCCAGACGCCCGCGGGCGGCAGCCGUGGGGGGUAUUGCACAAGGGGCGGAAGCCUGAUGCAGCGACGUCGCGUGAGGGAUGGAGGCCGUCGGGUUGGGAACCUCUUGCGCCGGUGGUGAAGGCCCUGUCCGUUGCGGCGGGGUUGACGGUAGCCGGGUAUGAAGCGCCGGCUAACUACGUG
This 499-nucleotide ribosomal RNA is filed under the name uncultured bacterium. Its description in RNAcentral is "partial 16S ribosomal RNA". It matches the Rfam family "Bacterial small subunit ribosomal RNA", at positions 28 to 507 of the family's 1533-position model. The record is from RNAcentral.